This 28-nucleotide non-coding RNA is filed under the name Macaca fascicularis (crab-eating macaque). The record is from RNAcentral. RNAcentral also lists the same sequence under 1 other name. Lineage: Eukaryota; Metazoa; Chordata; Mammalia; Primates; Cercopithecidae.
UGAGUUUAAAGGUGAUGAUGUGCAUUUC